Micropterus dolomieu (smallmouth bass) is the source of this 1566-nucleotide long non-coding RNA. RefSeq lists it as uncharacterized. NCBI's taxonomy places the organism in Eukaryota, Metazoa, Chordata, Actinopteri, Centrarchiformes, Centrarchidae. The transcript is spliced from 4 exons. The record is from RefSeq and is a predicted model, not a curated record.
UUCUGAAAGUAAAAGUCAGAAACCUGAUGGAAAUCUGAGCAGCUGCGUCUAAAAUCCACCCACACUCACACCUACAGGCAAUUUAGAGUCACCAAUUUAACCUGCAUGUCUUUUGACGGUGGGAGAGACCCUACGCACACACGAGGAGAACACAGAAAGGCCUGGGACGACCAAGGUUCAAGCCAAAAUAGCAGAAAGGUGAACACAUAGUGCUCAUGAUGGGGAGCAGGAAGUGAACACUCAAUAAACAAAAGAAAAUGAAACCAGCAAUUCUCAGAUUCUUUUGUCCACUUUUGGAGCAGCGGUAACGAUCUGUAAACGAUCUGACAUACCUAUAAAAAAAAAAAAUAUUGCACACUUUUACUGGCCUGGUGUGGCUACAUGUUUUGACAAAUAAAUGCAGGUCUCCAUUAGAAGCCUGGUCUGGCUUUUACCGACGUUCUUUGGGUGAAUAAAACGUCUUAAAGCCCACCGGGUCGCCUGCUAAGCUGCUUAGAUAGUGUUAGUGCGUUAAAUCCUCAACAAUUCAUCUGUUGAUGGUUCACAGUCUCACCCGAUGAUCAAGGCAACAGCAACAAUACAUCCCAGCAUGCUCAGGCCCAACAGGACACCCAGAGCGAUGACCACAGCCUGGUCGUCGGAGGCGGGGCUUUGAGGUUUCAUUUCUAGGUCAAACUGAAGACCAUCCCCAAACACUUUGACUAGCUCCGCCCUCACAGCAUCUGAUUGGCUCUGCAACUUCCUGAUGGAUAACAGAGGCAUGGUUACGGACCUGAGAGUAACAGCUCCAACACGAUUGAUCGGAUUUUUGACCUGUCGCAUGACAUAUCUUAUGACAGUUGAGAGAUGUGAAGAAAUGUUACCUGAAAACAAGUUUGACAAAAUGAAACGACCUCCCUUCCGUCGACACUGAUGAAGCUGACCAAAGUCUUCACAGCCGCCCUCAGCGAUCUGGACUCAGAGGCUCCUCCGUUAUCGCUCCACACCUCGAUGAUGUCCACCGUCCAGCCCAGAGCCGAACCUAAAGACCUGAGAAUUAAAAAGCUGUGGGACUUUCUUCUCCACAGCAUUGGCAGGCUGGUUGAGGGAGAUGACCACCACGUCAGUGCUGCUCGCACCUCCCUGGACCGCCACCUGGGGGCAGAAGAGCGCUGUUGUGGUUUCUUUAAUUCAGAAGAAAGAAAAUGGCAACAACACUAAGAAUCACAAGAAGAAUCUCCUGGACGUUUUUCUCACUUUAUAAAAAUGUUUAAACAUUUUUCCUCCGCCGCUGUGAACUACUCCACCCAGCCCUCCACACUCACCUCCACCUUGGUUGUAGCUUCAAGUCCUCGGGGGUCUGUGGCCUUCACCUCCACCUGAGCCUGCUGUCCAGCCAGACCCACUGCCGACACCACGUACACCAGACCUGAGGACGGCUCCACGUCGAAAUAAGGACUGUCUGCUGAGAGACUGUAGACCAGCUGACCCUCCUCACCGACAUCAUGGUCUGAAGCCUAUUUUAAGUAAAUUAAAUAAUGCAAUUCAUUAAGGUCAGAUGUUUGAAAAGUAAAGCUGUCAGCGCUA